Molecule: ribosomal RNA, 495 nt
Filed under: uncultured bacterium
Lineage: Bacteria
Description: bacterial SSU rRNA
Rfam family: Bacterial small subunit ribosomal RNA
Source: RNAcentral
AGACUUUGAUCCUGGCUCAGGACGAACGCUGGCGGCGUGCUUAACACAUGCAAGUCGAGCGGACUUGAGAUUGACGCGAUUUCGGUCAAGUCAUUCUCAAGUUAGCGGCGAACGGGUGAGUAACACGUGGGUAACCUGCCCUUAAGACCGGGAUAACAACCCGAAAGAGUUGCUAAUACCGGAUAUGCUCUUAGACCCGCCUGGGUUAGAGAGGAAGGAUUUAUUGCUUAAGGAUGGGCCCGCGUCCCAUUAGCUAGUUGGUGAGGUAACGGCUCACCAAGGCUGCGAUGGGUAGCUGGUCUGAGAGGACGAUCAGCCACACUGGAACUGAGACACGGUCCAGACUCCUACGGGGGGCAGCAGUGGGGAAUCUUGCACAAUGGGCGCAAGCCUGAUGCAGCAACGCCGCGUGAGCGAUGACGGCCUUCGGGUUGUAAAGCUCUGUCAGGGGGGACGAAGAUCUGACGGUACCCCCAGAGGAAGCCCCGGCGUAAA